GAUGAACGCUGGCGGCGUGCCUAAUACAUGCAAGUCGAGCGAACAGACGAGGAGCUUGCUCCUCUGACGUUAGCGGCGGACGGGUGAGUAACACGUGGAUAACCUACCUAUAAGACUGGGAUAACUUCGGGAAACCGGAGCUAAUACCGGAUAAUAUAUUGAACCGCAUGGUUCAAUAGUGAAAGACGGUUUUGCUGUCACUUAUAGAUGGAUCCGCGCCGCAUUAGCUAGUUGGUAAGGUAACGGCUUACCAAGGCGACGAUGCGUAGCCGACCUGAGAGGGUGAUCGGCCACAAGGGAACUGAGACACGGUCCAGACCCCUACGGGGGGCAGCAGUAGGGAAUCUUCCACAAUGGGGGAAAGCCUGACGGAGCAACGCCGCGUGAGUGAUGAAGGUCUUCGGAUCGUAAACCUCUGUUAUGAGGGAAAAACAAAUGUGUAAGUACCUAUGCAGGUUUAGAGGGAACGUAAUAAAAACGCCACGUCUAACUACG
This 495-nucleotide ribosomal RNA is filed under the name uncultured bacterium. RNAcentral describes it as "partial 16S ribosomal RNA". It matches the Rfam family "Bacterial small subunit ribosomal RNA", at positions 28 to 505 of the family's 1533-position model. The record is from RNAcentral.